GACGAACGCUGGCGGCGUGCUUAACACAUGCAAGUCGAACGGAAAGGCCAUGCUUUUGUGGGGUGCUCGAGUGGCGAACGGGUGAGUAACACGCGAGUAACCUGCACUUGACUUUGGGAUAAAUUCAGGAAACAGGGGCUAAUAUCGGAUAGGAGAUACUGCUGCACGGUGGGGGAUGGAAAGUUUCGGCGGUUGGGGAUGGACUCGCGGCUUAUCCGCUUGUUGGUGGGGUAGUGGCUUACCAAGGCUUUGACGGGUAGCCGGCCUGAGAGGGUGACCGGGCACAUUAGGACUGAGAUACGGCCCAGACUCCUACGGGAGGCAGCAGUGGGGAAUAUUGCACAGUGGGCGGAAGCCAGAUGCGACGACGCCGCGUGCGUAAUGACGGCCUUCUGGUUGUAAACCACUUUCGCCUUUGACGAAGCGGUAGUGACGGUAACGGGUAAAGAAGCACCGGCUAACUACGUG
This 468-nucleotide ribosomal RNA is filed under the name uncultured bacterium. RNAcentral describes it as "partial 16S ribosomal RNA". It matches the Rfam family "Bacterial small subunit ribosomal RNA", at positions 28 to 507 of the family's 1533-position model. The record is from RNAcentral.